RNAcentral lists this ribosomal RNA (458 nucleotides) under uncultured bacterium. Its description in RNAcentral is "partial 16S ribosomal RNA". It matches the Rfam family "Bacterial small subunit ribosomal RNA", at positions 338 to 795 of the family's 1533-position model. The record is from RNAcentral.
CCUACGGGUGGCAGCAGUGAGGAAUAUUGGUCAAUGGGCGAGAGCCUGAACCAGCCAAGUCGCGUGAGGGAGUACUGCCCUAUGGGUUGUAAACCUCUUUUGUCGGGGAGCAAAAGCCGGACGUGUCCGGCUGUGAGAGUACCCGAAGAAAAAGCAUCGGCUAACUCCGUGCCAGCAGCCGCGGUAAUACGGGGGAUGCGAGCGUUAUCCGGAUUUAUUGGGUUUAAAGGGUGCGCAGGCGGAUUUUUAAGUCAGCGGUAAAAUCGUGGGGCUCAACCCCAUCCAGCCGUUGAAACUGGGGAUCUAGAGUGUGCGAGAGGUAUGCGGAAUGCGUGGUGUAGCGGUGAAAUGCAUAGAUAUCACGCAGAACCCCGAUUGCGAAGGCAGCAUACCGGUGCACAACUGACGCUCAGGCACGAAAGCGUGGGUAUCGAACAGGAUUAGAUACCCCUGUACUC